RNAcentral lists this ribosomal RNA (468 nucleotides) under uncultured bacterium. Its description in RNAcentral is "partial 16S ribosomal RNA". It matches the Rfam family "Bacterial small subunit ribosomal RNA", at positions 28 to 507 of the family's 1533-position model. The record is from RNAcentral.
GACGAACGCUGGCGGCGUGCUUAACACAUGCAAGUCGAACGGAAAGGCCCUGCUUUUGUGGGGUGCUCGAGUGGCGAACGGGUGAGUAACACGUGAGUAACCUGCCCUUGACUUUGGGAUAACUUCAGGAAACUGGGGCUAAUACCGGAUAGGAGCUCCUGCUGCAUGGUGGGGGUUGGAAAGUUUCGGCGGUUGGGGAUGGACGCGCGGCUUAUCAGCUUGUUGGUGGGGUAGUGGCUUACCAAGGCUUUGACGGGUAGCCGGCCUGAGAGGGUGACCGGCCACAUUGGGACUGAGAUACGCCGCAGACUCCAAUGGGAGGCAGCAGUGGGGAAUAUUGCACAAUGGGCGGAAGCCUGAUGCAGAAACGCCGCGUGCGGGAUGACGGCCUUCGGGUUGUAAACCGCUUUCGCCUGUGACGAAGCGUGAGUGACGGUAAUGGGUAAAGAAGCACCGGCUAACUACGUG